AUUGAACGCUGGCGGCAUGCUUUACACAUGCAAGUCGAACGGCAGCACGGGGGCAACCCUGGUGGCGAGUGGCGAACGGGUGAGUAAUAUAUCGGAACGUACCCGGAAAUGGGGGAUAACGCAGCGAAAGUUGCGCUAAUACCGCAUAUGCCCUGAGGGGGAAAGCGGGGGAUCCGCAAGGACCUCGCGUUUUCGGAGCGGCCGAUAUCGGAUUAGCUAGUAGGUGGGGUAAAGGCCUACCUAGGCGACGAUCCGUAGCUGGUCUGAGAGGACGACCAGCCACACUGGAACUGAGACACGGUCCAGACUCCUACGGGAGGCAGCAGUGGGGAAUAUUGGACAAUGGGCGAAAGCCUGAUCCAGCCAUGCCGCGUGUGUGAAGAAGGCCUUAGGGUUGUAAAGCACUUUAAGCGAGGAGGAAGGUUCGUCACCUAAUACGUGGCGGAAUUGACGUUACUCGCAGAAUAAGCACCGGCUAACUCUGUGCCAGCAGCCGCGGUAAAGUAC
RNAcentral lists this ribosomal RNA (507 nucleotides) under uncultured bacterium. RNAcentral describes it as "bacterial SSU rRNA". It matches the Rfam family "Bacterial small subunit ribosomal RNA", at positions 29 to 526 of the family's 1533-position model. The record is from RNAcentral.